Molecule: ribosomal RNA, 253 nt
Filed under: uncultured bacterium
Lineage: Bacteria
Description: partial 16S ribosomal RNA
Rfam family: Bacterial small subunit ribosomal RNA
Source: RNAcentral
UACGUAGGGUGCAAGCGUUAAUCGGAAUUACUGGGCGUAAAGCGUGCGCAGGCGGUUCGGAAAGAAAGAUGUGAAAUCCCAGAGCUUAACUUUGGAAUGGCAUUUUUAACUACCGGGCUAGAGUAUGUCAGAGGGGGGUAGAAUUCCACGUGUAGCAGUGAAAUGCGUAGAGAUGUGGAGGAAUACCGAUGGCGAAGGCAGCCCCCUGGGAUAAUACUGACGCUCAUGCACGAAAGCGUGGGGAGCAAACAGG